CUGGCGGCACGCCUAACACAUGCAAGUCGAACGCAGUAGCAAUACUGAGUGGCAGACGGGUGAGUAACAUGUGGGAAUCUGCCUUGUGGUUCAGGACAACAUUGGGAAACCGAUGCUAAUACUGGAUAAGCCCUUACGGGGAAAGUUUUAAUGCCAUAAGAUGAGCCCGCAUUUGAUUAGUUAGUUGGUGAGGUAAUGGCUCACCAAGACAAUGAUCAAUAGCUGAUCUGAGAGGAUGAUCAGCCACACUGGGACUGAGACACGGCCCAGACUCCUACGGGAGGCAGCAGUGGGGAAUCUUGCACAAUGGAGGAAACUCUGAUGCAGCGAUGCCGCGUGAGUGAAGAAGGCCUUUGGGUUGUAAAGCUCUUUUGUAGGGGAAGAUAAUGACUGUACCCUAAGAAUAAGGUCCGGCUAACUUCGUGCCAGCAGCCGCGGUAAUACGAAGGGACCUAGCGUAGUUCGGAAUUACCGGGCGUAAAGCGCGCGUAGGCCGUUGAGUUAGUUAAUUGUGAAAUCCCCAAAGCUUAACUUUGGAACUGCAAUUAAAACUGCUCNACUAGAGUUUGAUAGAGGAAANCNGAAUACAU
This 590-nucleotide ribosomal RNA is filed under the name uncultured Alphaproteobacteria bacterium. RNAcentral describes it as "bacterial SSU rRNA". It matches the Rfam family "Bacterial small subunit ribosomal RNA", at positions 36 to 671 of the family's 1533-position model. Lineage: Bacteria; Pseudomonadati; Pseudomonadota; Alphaproteobacteria. The record is from RNAcentral.